AACGCUCGAGCGAGUAAGGCUCCUUCGGGAGUACACGAGCGGGGAAAGGGUGAGUAACACGUGAGCGUCUGCCCUUCGCAUCGGAAUAAGCGUUGGAAACGACGUCUAAUGCCGAAUAUGACCUCCUUUCGCAUGUUAGGAGGUGGAAAGCUCCGGCGGAGAAGGAUGAGCUCGCGGCCUAUCAGCUUGUUGGUGAGGUAAUGGCUCACCAAGGCGACGACGGGUAGCCGGCCUGAGAGGGUGACCGGCCACACUGGGACUGAGACACGGCCCAGACUCCUACGGGAGGCAGCAGUGGGGAAUAUUGGACAAUGGGCGAAAGCCUGAUCCAGCAACGCCGCGUGAGGGAUGACGGCCUUCGGGUUGUAAACCUCUUUCACCGGGGACGAAGCGAAAGUGACGGUACCCGCAGAAGAAGGACCGGCCAACUACGUGCCAGCAGCCGCGGUAAUACGUAGGGUCCGAGCGUUGUCCGGAAUUAUUGGGCGUAAAGGGCUCGUAGGCGGUUUGUCGCGUCGGGAGUGAAAACUCAGGGCUCAACCCUGAGCGUGCUUCCGAUACCGGCAGACUAGAGGUAUGCAGGGGAGAACGGAAUU
RNAcentral lists this ribosomal RNA (596 nucleotides) under Aeromicrobium sp. R1. Its description in RNAcentral is "bacterial SSU rRNA". It matches the Rfam family "Bacterial small subunit ribosomal RNA", at positions 59 to 668 of the family's 1533-position model. The record is from RNAcentral. Lineage: Bacteria; Bacillati; Actinomycetota; Actinomycetes; Propionibacteriales; Nocardioidaceae.